UGCCUCAGUAACGGCGAGUGAAGCGGCAAAAGCUCAAAUUUGAAAUCUGGCUCUUUUAGGGUCCGAGUUGUAAUUUGUAGAAGAUGUUUCGGGUGUGGCUCCGGUUUAAGUUCUUUGGAAUAUUACAUCAUAGAGGGUGAGAAUCCCGUAUGUGACCGGCAGCCUCCGCCUAUGUGAAACUCUUUCGACGAGUCGAGUUGUUUGGGAAUGCAGCUCAAAAUGGGAGGUAUAUUUCUUCUAAAGCUAAAUAUUGGCCAGAGACCGAUAGCGCACAAGUAGAGUGAUCGAAAGAUGAAAAGCACUUUGGAAAGAGAGUUAAACAGUACGUGAAAUUGUUGAAAGGGAAGCGCUUGCAACCAGACUUGCACGCAGUUGAUCAUCCGGUGUUCUCACCGGGGCACUCUGCUGCGUUCAGGCCAGCAUCGGUUUUGGUGGUUGGAUAAAGGCCUUGGGAAUGUGGCUUCCUUCGGGGAGUGUUAUAGCCCUCGGUGCAAUGCAGCCUACCGGGACCGAGGACCGCGCUUCGGCUAGGAUGCUGGCGUAAUGGUUGUAAGCGACCCGUCUUGAAACACGGACCAAGGAGUCUAACAUCUAUGCGAGUGUUUGGGUGUUAAACCCAUACGCGUAAUGAAAGUGAACGGAGGUGAGAACCCUUAAGGGUGCAUCAUCGACCGGUCCUGAUAUUUUUGGAUGGAUCUGAGUAAGAGCAUAGCUGUUGGGACCCGAAAGAUGGUGAACUAUGCGUGAAUAGGGUGAAGCCAGAGGAAACUCUGGUGGAGGCUCGCAGCGGUUCUGACGUGCAAAUCGAUCGUCAAAUUUGCGCAUAGGGGCGAAAGACUUAUCGAACCAUUAAGGAAUAACUACUAGGUGGUAAAAAGGCCAUAAUACGGCCUAGUCCUCCCCCGAGGGCGACAUUGUCAAAUUGUUCGGGGACCUCCUGAUAACUCUCAGACUACCGCAGCCUGCCCGAAAGGGGGGUGCGCACCGGGCUAACGACCCUGGGGAUGGUAAUAACGUCUGGGGUAGGGAUGAUCCGCAGCCAAGUCCUACCGCCCCCCCCGGGG
RNAcentral lists this ribosomal RNA (1064 nucleotides) under Laetinaevia raripila. RNAcentral describes it as "Hyalopeziza raripila LSU rRNA". It matches the Rfam family "Eukaryotic large subunit ribosomal RNA", at positions 76 to 1396 of the family's 3401-position model. The record is from RNAcentral. Lineage: Eukaryota; Fungi; Ascomycota; Leotiomycetes; Helotiales; Calloriaceae.